This 3175-nucleotide long non-coding RNA is filed under the name Podarcis lilfordi (Lilford's wall lizard). The record is from RNAcentral. Lineage: Eukaryota; Metazoa; Chordata; Lepidosauria; Squamata; Lacertidae.
CUCCCAUGAAAGCACCGUUUCCUCCUGCAGACAGAAGACCAGACACAAAAGGCGGCAGAAAUCAAAUAAAAGGAAAAUGCAGCAGCCACAGGUCAGGCUUGUAUAAAUAUUUAUGCUGGAGGAAGACAUGGUGCCUGAGUAAUGACCUUGUGGCUGGUAUUAAUAGAGAUAAUGUGGAGCUGGGAGACUCGUUGCCAGAAAGAGGGUGAGAGAUAGGAAGGUUUUAAGGCUCUGGGCAGGGCAGCACUUCUGUUUGAUCUUUGGUUGGUGUUUUUAUUUAUGCAUCCAAAUUCCUGCCCUGCCCUGUUCCCAUAAGAGCGGAGUAGGCAGGCGGAUGGGCCAAUAGCUCAGUGACAGAGUGCCUUCUUUGCAUGCAAAAAGGUCCCAGGUUUAAUCCCUACCACCUCCAGGUAGGACUUAGAAAGGUUCCCUGCCUAAAAACCCCAGGAGAGCUGCUGCUGUAGAAAAUCUUGAGCUAGAUGGACCAGUGGUCUGACACGACAAUGAUUAAGAGAAGUCAGAAGCAGCCUCACUAGAUAACCUGUGGAACUCACUGCCACAGGAGGCAGUGACAGCAGCCAACUUGGAUGGCUUUAAAGGAGGAUUAAACAAAUUUAUAGGGGAGAAGGAUAUCAGUGGCUACUAGCCACCGUGGCCGUGCUCUGCCUCCACAGCUGAAUACCAGUUGCUGGAAACCACCGGAGGGGAAAGGCCUGGGGGGCCUGCUUGUGGGUUUGUCACAUGCGUCUGGUGGUGAGCAUAACCAGGGCAUAGCCAAUCAAGCAAAUAAAUAAAUGGGCGUAGCCAAUCAAGUAAAUAAAUACUUAACUAAAAGUAGAAAUAAUCAGAAUACUUGAAAUUGAAAUGUGCGCUGAGGUCACUUAUGAUGUUGUGGCACAUUCUAGCGAUGCAACUGGCAACCCGACUGAGUGAUAGGCGUGGCUUCUGCGAACUGACCAAUUGCGUCACAGGUAGCUCGGUUCUGGAACAGGAUAGGAAGGUGUCCUGCCUCCUCCGAUAAAUUCUGGCUACACCCAUGCACCUGGUUGGUCACAGUGAAAACAGGAUGCUGGACUAAAUGGACCAUUGGCCUAAUCCAGCAAGGCUCUUAUUGUGUUCUUGCAUUCUUUCACACAAACAUCCACUGCUGGUUAACUUUCUCCAUUUCAGCAGCCUAAAUCAGGCAGAAGAGGUCAGCUGAAAGUCAGGAAUCCUUGCUAAUCUACUGGAAAUCGUCCAGUGAUUAAUAAGUAGAUCUACCUUCGCGCUCACCCCUGCUCACUGUGGAAUUCUCUGCAAUGCAAAUAAGAUCCCAAAGCAUGCAUGAAAAGGUUCCCAAUCAGAUCAGUCAAAAAGGUUCUUUGAAGGAAGAAAACCUGAAAAAAUGAUGCCUUGGAUUAAAAUGGGGGGGGGGGGAAUUAUGGAUAAUUCAUGAAGAUAAAUAAGAACUAAAACCAGUGGAUGAUUUGGUGUGUGAUAGCGAUCAUUCCCUUUCAGCUACUGCAAAUGGUGUGGUUUACUGCCUCUUAAUUUGCAGCUGAAGUCAUCCCAUCUUCUGUUUAUAAUGGGCACCAACAAUUUAGGUAACUUAUUCCGUAUAAUGGCUUUAUUUUAUUCGCUGCUUUUCUGCUGAAUGAAAGCAGCAGAAAAUAAAAGUCCUCCACGCGAAAAUCACAGUGAAAGCUGAAUAAAUGGCUAUUCCACAGCAAUAAAAACCCAAAUCUGAAAUUAAAUCCCAAUUUCUUCAUUCUUAAAGCAGCAGCAAAAUUCUAAAGCAGCGGUGGUGAACCACAGGCCUGGGGGUGCAAUGUGGCCCUCCAUACCUCUCUACCUGGCCCUCAGGACUCUCUGCCUUCCAAAUCCCCAACCACACCCUCUAUCUGCCCCCCAAUUAAUCUUUUUACACAGUUUCUUCGCAGACCCUCCAAGUUUCCCCAUUUUCCAGGGACAGUCCUGGAUAUACAGAAGCUGUCCCGGUUUCUGAUUUGAUCCCAGAAUGUCCCCUUUUUCCUUAGGAUGCCCCUAUUUUCAUCGAACAAAAGUUGGAGGGGAUGUCCCUGUUUUCACCAGAGAAACGGAGGGCAUGGAAUAGGACAUCCCUAUUUUCAAUGGAGAAAUGUUGGAGGGUAUGUCUUCAGGCACUUUUCUCUGGUUCAGAUGUGUCUCUGAACUCUGACUCUCCUUCUUGCUUGUCCAGAAGGAUAGAGAGAUGGUGAGUGGGUGUCUAUAGAAACCAGCUUCCUGUACAAAGGUAAAAUUCCUCUCAGUUGCUCCACCUCCUUUUGCCUCUGGCUCCGCCCACCACCAGCACAACUCUAGCCCUGUGAGGGGGUCUCUUGAGAACUCUCAGCAAUCUUAACAAACCACACUUCCCAGGGUUCUUUGGGAGAAAGCCAAUGCUGCUUUCAAUGUACAGCGUGGGUAGAGCCUUAGGUUGUUUCUGCCUGCCAUUGGGCUUUGCCUGCCAUUGGACUUUUGGCUCUGCCUGCUGCCAGCCUCCCUGCUUCCCACCCUACCCGCCUCAAGAACGGUUUAACAAUCAAUCCAUCUUCCCAGGGAACUAUGGGAAUUGUAGUUCUGGGAGGGGAUAAGGGCUCUCCUAGCAACACUUGGCACUCUUGACAAACCACACUUCCCAGGAUUCUUUGGGGGGAAGCCAUGACUGCUCAAAGCAGCUUUAAAUACAUAGCGCAGAUGAGGCCUGCAUGUGGAGCCCACAAGAGGUUUUCCAGUUGGCAAAUGUGCCCAAAUGGGCCCUGCAAAAAGGUUUCCUGAACCCCUGUAAAUAAAUGGCAGGUGAUCCAUGCUGCCUCUGUUUCCAUCGUGUUGGAAGGCAGGUGUUUGCCCAAACACGAUUUUCCAAAUUUUAUCUUAUUCUCCUUUUCUUGUUUCCUCACAAUUUCUGAACACUGCAGUCUGUCCAGAGCGAAGCUGAAAGCCCACCCCACCCUCCUCUGAUGUAUGCAUUUGCCCCCACCUGAUUCCCCAGCUCAGACCCUUUUCUCCUCUUCUGUUUUUUCUUUCUUCUUUCUCCAGAGCGAAACCAGGAGAGGACCUGCCACUCUUGAUCUGUGAGAAGGAGGAUCCCGGAGAUGAAAGCGUCCAGUAAGCCCUGUGAUUGCCUCCAUAAUGGACCACACGCGAGAAAUUAAAUAAACAUCAUUCAUCACUGCCC